UGGCUCUCGCAACGAUGAAGAACGCAGCGAAAUGCGAUACGUAGUGUGAAUUGCAGAAUUCCGUGAAUCAUCGAAUCUUUGAACGCACAUUGCACUCUGUUUUGCAGAGUAUGCCUGUUUGAGAAUCUAAAACACAUUCAUCAAUAAUUUAUUUGGAUUUAUUUAUUUCAAGUCCAAUUAAAAUUGCUGAGAUAUGGACACUUUUCCGGCUGAGAAGCCAGAAAUUGUCUGCAAGGCAUUGCUCAAACGACCUCAAUGAUGAUGUCUGGAAGGCAAAAGUGUAUGAAGGGUUCGCCCACGUCCUUUUGUGUUGGAAAGACGUAGUUGAAUGAUUGGAAGAGCGCGCGACUCCACAUUGCUAGCGCAGUGGGGGAGAUCACACUUUUUUUUAUCUUGGUCUCAAAUCAGGUAGGAAGACCCGCUGA
RNAcentral lists this unclassified non-coding RNA (425 nucleotides) under uncultured fungus. RNAcentral's name for it is "partial contains 5.8S ribosomal RNA and internal transcribed spacer 2". The stretch from base 1 to 128 matches the Rfam family "5.8S ribosomal RNA", at positions 22 to 154 of the family's 154-position model. Lineage: Eukaryota; Fungi. The record is from RNAcentral.